GUGAAAAACAUAGAGACACAUAUACUAAAAUUGGAACGAUACAGAGAAGAUUAGCAUGGUCCCUGCACAAGGAUGACCCACCCUGCUUUUCUUUCUUAU
Aotus nancymaae (Ma's night monkey) is the source of this 99-nucleotide small nuclear RNA. NCBI's taxonomy places the organism in Eukaryota, Metazoa, Chordata, Mammalia, Primates, Aotidae. The record is from Ensembl.